UGUCCAGGGUAGCCUAGUGGACAUGGCAUCUGCCCGGUAAGCGGAACAUUGUGGUUUCGAUUCCCACAGUAUUUUUACAG
This is a non-coding RNA of Cordylochernes scorpioides, 80 nucleotides long. Lineage: Eukaryota; Metazoa; Arthropoda; Arachnida; Pseudoscorpiones; Chernetidae. The record is from the annotation of a GenBank genome assembly.